Molecule: transfer RNA, 74 nt
Filed under: Candidatus Parcubacteria bacterium
Lineage: Bacteria; Candidatus Parcubacteria
Description: tRNA-Arg
Rfam family: tRNA
About the family: Transfer RNA (tRNA) molecules are approximately 80 nucleotides in length. Their secondary structure includes four short double-helical elements and three loops (D, anti-codon, and T loops).
Source: RNAcentral
GUCCUUGUAGCUCAAUUGGAAAGAGCGUCAGCCUCCGGAGCUGAAGGUUGUGCGUUCGAGCCGCACCAAGGACA